RNAcentral lists this ribosomal RNA (1079 nucleotides) under Rosulabryum albolimbatum. RNAcentral describes it as "eukaryotic LSU rRNA". It matches the Rfam family "Eukaryotic large subunit ribosomal RNA", at positions 52 to 1134 of the family's 3401-position model. The record is from RNAcentral. Lineage: Eukaryota; Viridiplantae; Streptophyta; Bryopsida; Bryales; Bryaceae.
GGAGGACAAGAAACUAACCAGGAUUUCCCUAGUAACGGCGAGCGAACCGGAAAGAGCCCAGCUUGAAAAUCGGGGCGUCUUGCGCCCCGAAUUGUAGUCUGGAGAAGGUCCCUCUGCGACGCGCCGGACCCAAGUUCCCUGGAAAGGGACGUCAGAGAGGGUGACAACCCCGUCGAGUCCGGAGUUCGUCGCUCCACGAGAACCUGUCUGCGAGUCGGACUGUUUGGGAAUGCAGUCCUAAGUGGGAGGUAAAUUCCUUCCAAGGCUAAAUAUUGGCAGGAGACCGAUAGCGAACAAGUACCGCGAGGGAAAGAUGAAAAGGACUUUGAAAAGAGAGUUAAAAGUGCUUGAAAUUGCUGGGAGGGAAGCGAAUGGAAGCUGCGGGUGCACCCCGGUUGGAUGUGGAACGGCUUGCGCUGGUCCGCCGCUCAACGCGGGGUGCUGGUCAGCGUGGGCUACCGCGGCGGGACAAGUGCGGGGAAUCGUUCCCCGCCCAUGCCGUUGCGGUGGCCGAGGAACGAAGCGCGCGCUGUAAAAGGCGUGGUCUCGGCCAACUGCGCGCUCGGGACGCUGGCGUAUUGAGCUCUUCAUCCGACCCGUCUUGAAACACGGACCAAGGAGUCUAACAUGUAUGCGAGCCGGUGGGCGGCAAACCCAUUGAGGCGCAAGGAACCUGACAGGUGGGAGCCCGUUGAGGGCGCACCAUCGACCGACCGUGAUCUUCUGUGAAAGGUUUGAGUGUGAGCACACAUGUUGGGACCCGAAAGAUGGUGAACUAUGCCUGAGCAGGGCGAAGCCAGAGGAAACUCUGGUGGAGGCUCGUAGCGAUACUGACGUGCAAAUCGUUCGUCAGACUUGGGUAUAGGGGCGAAAGACUAAUCGAACCAUCUAGUAGCUGGUUCCCUCCGAAGUUUCCCUCAGGAUAGCUGGAGCUCGUGUACGAGUUUUAUCAGGUAAAGCGAAUGAUUAGAGGCAUCGGGGGUGUAACACCCUCGACCUAUUCUCAAACUUUAAAUAGGUAAGCCGCCGGGGUUGCUUGGUUGAACCCCGGCACAGAAUGAGAGCUCCAAGUGGGCCAU